CAGUCGCCGCGGUAAUACGUAGGUGGCAAGCGUUGUCCGGAAUUAUUGGGCGUAAAGGGCUCGCAGGCGGAUUCUUAAGUCUGAUGUGAAAGCCCCCGGCUCAACCGGGGAGGGUCAUUGGAAACUGGGAAACUUGAGUGCAGAAGAGGAGAGUGGAAUUCCACGUGUAGCGGUGAAAUGCGUAGAGAUGUGGAGGAACACCAGUGGCGAAGGCGACUCUCUGGCCUGUAACUGACGCUGAGGAGCGAAAGCGUGGGGAGCGAACAGGAUUAGAUACCCCUGUAGUCCCUGUCUCUUAUAA
This 301-nucleotide ribosomal RNA is filed under the name uncultured bacterium. RNAcentral's name for it is "partial 16S ribosomal RNA". It matches the Rfam family "Bacterial small subunit ribosomal RNA", at positions 509 to 809 of the family's 1533-position model. The record is from RNAcentral.